UACGGAAGGCAGCAGUGGGGAAUAUUGCACAAUGGGCGCAAGCCUGAUGCAGCCAUGCCGCGUGUAUGAAAAAGGCCUUCGGGUUGUAAAGUACUUUCAGUCGUGAGGAAGGUGUUAAGGUUAAUAACCUUAGCAAUUGACGUUAGCGACAGAAGAAGCACCGGCUAACUCCGUGCCAGCAGCCGCGGUAAUACGGAGGGUGCGAGCGUUAAUCGGAAUUACUGGGCGUAAAGGGCACGCAGGCGGUUAAUUAAGUUGGAUGUGAAAUCCCCGGGCUUAACCUGGGAAUGGCAUUCAAGACUGGUUAGCUAGAGUCUUGUAGAGGGGGUAGAAUUCCAUGUGUAGCGGUGAAAUGCGUAGAGAUGUGGAGGAAUACCGGUGGCGAAGGCGGCCCCUGGACAAAGCUGACGCUCAUGCGCGAAAGCGUGGGGAGCAAACGAGGGAUUAGAUACC
RNAcentral lists this ribosomal RNA (453 nucleotides) under uncultured bacterium. Its description in RNAcentral is "bacterial SSU rRNA". It matches the Rfam family "Bacterial small subunit ribosomal RNA", at positions 340 to 786 of the family's 1533-position model. The record is from RNAcentral.